AUGAGGAAAAGUGGCGGAAGAAUAACUUAUCCUUCAUAUAGCCGGCGUGGAUCCAAAGGUGGAAGGCGAGGUUUAGGGGUCAAAGGUGGAUUCCGGUUAGGCUGGGUUCAGACGGAGGUUUCUGGUAAUGGUCAAGGGUGGCUCAGGCGCGGUUCCAGCGAGAUGGUCAGAGUUCUGGCGGUGUUUAUGUUCUUCGGUCAGGUGAGUUUGUGA
Molecule: non-coding RNA, 213 nt
Organism: Vicia faba (fava bean)
Lineage: Eukaryota; Viridiplantae; Streptophyta; Magnoliopsida; Fabales; Fabaceae
Source: the annotation of a GenBank genome assembly